Molecule: long non-coding RNA, 1139 nt
Filed under: Helianthus annuus (common sunflower)
Lineage: Eukaryota; Viridiplantae; Streptophyta; Magnoliopsida; Asterales; Asteraceae
Description: hypothetical non coding rna
Source: RNAcentral
GGGUGGUCGACACACACAUAGUCUGUGUGUGUGUGUAUUCUUGUGUGAAUCAAGGAAGAAGGAGAAGAGAAGGAAUUUGAAAUUUUUCAUGGAUAAUCUAUGAGUUUUGAAGUGUUCAUCAUCUCCUAAGCAUCAAGCGCGUCUACUUUAAUCUAAGGGCAUUGCAUGCUUUUAGGACAAGGUAUUAUAUCUUUAUGACAGAGUAAGUUUUGUAUAACCUUCUUUUUUCGCUUGGUAGUAAGGCACAUCAGGUGAAUCAUCUGCUAGGGUGAGUUUAAUAUGUAGAUCAUCUCCUCAUUGCAAGGUACUGUCUAGUGGAGCCUGCAAAAGUGUCCUAUAUAUGAAACCAAGGGCAUGCAAUUCGCAGAGUGAAAGUUAGGCUUCAAUUACCACUUGCAACAAAGGAUGUUAUCUACAACCUCACUUUUGUCUCCUAAAAUCUUUCCGUUACAUGUUUUUGCUUUGCUAUCCAUUGUAUGUCGAAGCUUAGAACAUAUUGCAAAUUAACUAGGCAUUUUGGUCAUUCCUCCUUACACAGGAACAAAUGAUCAACUACAAACCUCUAUAAGAUGUAAGUGCUUUGGUUAAUCCUUUUAUGAGUGUAAUGAACAAGGAGCAUGGCGACUACCUUCUACUUUAUGGCAAAGGUAUUAUUAGUAAAAGGAUGGUGGUGAGGAAACAUACAUGAUUCUGGGUGUGCUUAUGGAAUUAUUUAAGGCGAGCCUUGAAGUUAAAAAAACAUAGGUUCUUGAAUUGCGAAAAGAAAUUGAGGAGAACCAUUAAAGGAAAAAAACUGAGCUAGAAGCAAUGCAAAAGAGAUUUUGACAUACAACGAACAACUUAGAAGCUACGAUGUGAAGUAUUAUUUGGAAAAGCUACCUAUUCGAGAACUUCCGGAUCUUUGAGAUGAGUAGAAACUUUAUGUUACUUCUAUCAUUGUAAAUGACAACUUCAUUUUGGUUACAUUGUUAUUUUGAGUUUGGACAUGUGUUAAAUUGCGAUAUAAUAGAUAUGUUAUUAGUUUGUUGGUAAAAUUGAGAUAAUAUUGCGUAUUAAUAGAAUUUUCGUACUUUCAAAUAAUGAUGCUUUGGAGUUGCAUUUGAUUAUGAAAAAGGUUGCAUUUGUUGUAACUAGGAUUU